UCCAAUAUUUUGGUGAGUAUUAGUGUAUUACAUACUAUCGGAUCGUUGGUGCUAACCAUUAAUUCCAAAAGCUCAAACUGUUAGAAAUACGCAACUAAUUCACUUAAAGCGUAUAGAUACAGCGCCCAUGAAUCUCGACUGUGACUCGACCCAACCAGCUUCACGCCACCUCAAACAUGACUCGGCCCAUAUAGUCUCCCGUCAUAUGGUAGGAUGCUGGACCAUCUAAGCCAACACAUAUAUUAAUCAAACAAAAACAACAAAAAAACAUCAGGAAA
RNAcentral lists this long non-coding RNA (278 nucleotides) under Ananas comosus (pineapple). RNAcentral's name for it is "long non-coding RNA (ACOM_LNC002583)". Lineage: Eukaryota; Viridiplantae; Streptophyta; Magnoliopsida; Poales; Bromeliaceae. The record is from RNAcentral.